Molecule: long non-coding RNA, 1385 nt
Filed under: Parus major (Great Tit)
Lineage: Eukaryota; Metazoa; Chordata; Aves; Passeriformes; Paridae
Description: lncRNA (ENSPMJG00000006866.1)
Source: RNAcentral
GAGAGCUCACACACAGCAACUGGUCCUGAUCUAAUCACACACAUUCUUACAGUGUUCUUUGGCUCCAGCUUGUUCAACUGCACCAAUAUUUUCAGUUUUCUUUCCUACCUCCUUGGACAAGAUGCAGAACAGGAAUCACCCAAGUUUGGGUCAUCAGGCAGUUUGCAGUUUAUGUGUCUUCUCCCCAGUCUGUGGCAAAAGAGGGGAAUUAAAGAAUGGGCAAAGUGGCUUAGGCUCCAAUUCUGCUUUGCAGAUGAGAAGGAGCUUCCCUGCAAUAGCUGCAAACAUACUGGGAAUGCUGGGGAGUGGCUCAGAAAGCUCAGCAGGUACUGAAAUCUGCCUCAUGCUCAAAUAUCCCAGGAGUUCACUGGAGCUGAGCACCACACUCCCACUCUGAAGUGCUGGGGAUACCCUGCUGCUGAGAAUUUCAGGUACCUGGUGAAGCUGCCCAGGCUGCAGCUUGGAUGGAGUGGGGACAGCAGGAGACAGGGAGACCUGACCAGCUCCCCUGCAGCCCUGGUGUCACCCAUAAAGCAAAUCCAACCUAGACCCACAUCAGAGGUCAAACCCUGUCAGCUCCUCUCAGCAGUAGCUGCUCCCUGAACAGCAGCAGAGCUCAGAAAGCUCUGUUUGCAGCACUCUGGAUGUGAGCCAGCACAAACCUCUCCAGGCAGACCUGGCAGGCAAGCAGGAUGUCUCAAGCCCAUGAUAAGGCUAAUUUUCAAGCUGGCACCCGAACACCCAAAAGUCCUCAAGAAAUCAACAUUAGAGCCAGAAAUGAUCCAAGUCACUGCCAGGAGCUGAGACCAGCACUUCUAAUUGCUGUGAGCUCCCUUUUCCCACCAGUGAAUCACCAUCUCCAGGAGUGGAAGCAGAGCUCCUGCACCAGCUCUGCCUCUGAAGGGUGUCAGUUCCAUUUCAUCCCAUCACUAUCCAUCUGCAGCUGUAUUCCCCAAGUCACCCUUUGGGAGCUUGAUGACCUUAUAAAGCAUGACUGGGUUUUGUUUCAAGAAACAAAACCAGCUGCCUGCAGGGUACUUUGAUUCUAAACAGUAUUUUUAAGUACUGGGGCUGGGUGAAGCAAUGAAAUAAUUUGCUGGUGGGUCAAAUCUCUUUUUGCAGGGUCCUACUCUGUCAAACAGCACACCUGAUUUUCUUGCUCAGUGUCAAAUAUUUGCUUUCUGUGUGACUAGAAAGGCUAUUUCCCAGCAAGCCCAAAUAUCUGUCUUUGCAGUGGUGCAUCCUUUCACUGCUGCCUAUUCUCCCUCACAGGUGUACACACACUGAAUUGUGCAGAGGAGCCAGACACAAAGCCAAGGUGAAAAAGCAGUAAUCAGAGUUGCACACAAAGCAAAAAAAAUCCCCCAAAUGCCAUUAACUUCCAG